GACGAACGCUGGCGGCAGGCCUAACACAUGCAAGUCGAACGAAGGCUUCGGCCUUAGUGGCGCACGGGUGCGUAACGCGUGGGAAUCUGCCCUUGGGUUCGGAAUAACAGUUAGAAAUGACUGCUAAUACCGGAUGAUGUCGUAAGACCAAAGAUUUAUCGCCCAAGGAUGAGCCCGCGUAGGAUUAGCUAGUUGGUGGGGUAAAGGCCCACCAAGGCGACGAUCCUUAGCUGGUCUGAGAGGAUGAUCAGCCACACUGGGACUGAGACACGGCCCAGACUCCUACGGGAGGCAGCAGUGGGGAAUAUUGGACAAUGGGCGAAAGCCUGAUCCAGCAAUGCCGCGUGAGUGAUGAAGGCCUUAGGGUUGUAAAGCUCUUUUACCCGGGAUGAUAAUGACAGUACCGGGAGAAUAAGCUCCGGCUAACUUCGUGCCAGCCGCCGCAGUAA
RNAcentral lists this ribosomal RNA (449 nucleotides) under uncultured bacterium. RNAcentral's name for it is "partial 16S ribosomal RNA". It matches the Rfam family "Bacterial small subunit ribosomal RNA", at positions 28 to 523 of the family's 1533-position model. The record is from RNAcentral.